This 1425-nucleotide long non-coding RNA is filed under the name Sus scrofa (pig). Its description in RNAcentral is "lncRNA (ENSSSCG00025064256.1)". The record is from RNAcentral. Lineage: Eukaryota; Metazoa; Chordata; Mammalia; Artiodactyla; Suidae.
CUAGUCGGAUUCGGUAACCCCUGAGCCACGAAGGGAACUCCUUCAUUUUUUAAAGUCUACCUCAUGAGCUUCCUUUAAGUUGGGAGCUUCUAAUGAACAAGUAAAUCAGAAUCACAUAUAUUCAGGUUAUACACAACAUCUGUGGAACAGAGUGCAUCUGAGUUCAAUGCUCUCUUAGGCCUAACAGUAGUUGCUUUGAAUGAGAAUGUCGGAUGCUGGAAGAUAUGAAAUAGUUAAAAAAUACAAAUCUAAAGGAUGCUAGCUGAUAUUAGCUACAGUCUAUGCUCUUGAAAAUGACUUCUAUGAGGCCUAAUCAAUAAUAGUUAUACAUCACCAAUUUCCAUGUCUUAUUGACUCUGGGUAUGGCUGUCUCUAUUCAUCUUACUAAUUCCACACGUUACUUCAACACCGAUACUGAAUUCAAGUCAAUGGCAGAUCUGUAAUAAAUUAAUCAGUAUGCAAAAAAAUGGGAAACGCAGGUCCUACUCACGGGUAAUGCUCAGUGAAAGCCCUUGACAGUAUGCCUGUUGCUGCAACCUGGAGCCAGUUUACACAGUCAUAGCAUCAAGGACCUGGAAUUUUCCUAUGAAGACAAGUGGGAAUCCAGAAACCCUCACCCAGAUGCUUUUUGAAGGUAACAAACAAACAAACAAACACAUCCCUGCUGACUGCAUCAGGAUCUAAGACAUCGGCGGGGGGGCAGGGUUUAAAAAUAGGAGGGAGGGAGAGUAGAGAUGCAGAAGAACGAUGAGGCGCAAGGAUGAUAAACCUCCUGGGAGAGAAACGGAAUACAAACUCUGCCGGUAGCAGACAACUUUUGAAAAGCCUUCCCUUUUGCUGUGCGUGCUUCCAGGCAUCCAGUCCAGACCUUGCAUCCAAACACCCAAAGGUAAGAAGAGAUGCUAGCUUAUUUCGAAAUGGAGUUUGAAGUCAGUCAGGUCUUAAUUGUGAGCGACUAUUAAGUUUAAGACACUGCCUUCGGCAGCCUCCUGUGUCUUCUUCCCUCCUAAGGGUUUGCUAAUACAGUAACCCAUUCCUUCCUCAACUCAGAAGCCCAUCAUCACACCUUAACUGGUCUGCCUCCACGCCUCUCUGCCCAGAUUGACACUUAACUUUAAUUUCCCCUUUCCCAAAACAAAACAACAAAAUCAAACUUUACAGAGGACUUAACUGUAUUCAAAUAUCCAUACAAUUCUAUCCAUGGCAACAGUCUCGGUUUUUCAGAAACUUCAUUUCCAGCGUCCCCCACCUCCACGGACAAAAGAAAAUGGGCCCCAGUGUCACAAACUUCGGCACCUCUCAAGGAACUAAUUAAAUCUCCUAGGACGCUCUCACCCACGCCCUCAGAAAUCUGAAGGGUGUGCAAAAUCCAAACCCAAUUCAACACGAUGAUAAUAAAAGCCCUUUACUUUCUGUAACGCUCCA